UUCAUAGCCAUGGAUUGAUAACCCAGGUACAAGAAAGGAGACCAUAAUGAGGGUCUGACUCUGGAUUUGUGUUUCAUGAUCUCUACCUUCAUGGGUAUUUCAGUGCUUCCAUUAAGUUACCUGCUGGAGUAGCUUCUUGGCUGGUGGAGCUACAUUAGCUGCAGGGAGACUAGAGGCAGAGCUUGGGACGCUGAAGUCCAUCUCUGCAUAUAGUGGCCAUUAUCGGCCAACAGAUGAUCGUUUGGACACCUUUCUGUCAUUUCUCAAGGAAAAUGGAGUGAACCUUAAUGAAGUCCAGGUAAUAAUUUAGUUUGACCUUACUGCUUCAUUUGUGGUCUUGAAAAGCUUGAUGUCAUUAGUGGAAACAAGUUUGGAUAAUGAUGAA
This is a long non-coding RNA of Humulus lupulus (European hop), 385 nucleotides long. RefSeq lists it as uncharacterized. NCBI's taxonomy places the organism in Eukaryota, Viridiplantae, Streptophyta, Magnoliopsida, Rosales, Cannabaceae. The transcript has 3 exons. The record is from RefSeq and is a predicted model, not a curated record.